GCCAGUGUGAUGUAGUGGUUUGAAUGUUGAACUAUGACUCUGACAAGCAGGGUUCAAAUCCCUGCUCAGGCA
Phrynosoma platyrhinos (Desert horned lizard) is the source of this 72-nucleotide non-coding RNA. Lineage: Eukaryota; Metazoa; Chordata; Lepidosauria; Squamata; Phrynosomatidae. The record is from the annotation of a GenBank genome assembly.